Molecule: unclassified non-coding RNA, 333 nt
Filed under: soil metagenome
Description: partial contains 5.8S ribosomal RNA, internal transcribed spacer 2, and large subunit ribosomal RNA
Rfam family: 5.8S ribosomal RNA (bases 1-120)
Source: RNAcentral
GAUGAAGAACGUAGCGAAAUGCGAUAAGUAAUGUGAAUUGCAGAAUUCAGUGAAUCAUCGAAUCUUUGAACGCACAUUGCGCCCGCCAGUAUUCUGGCGGGCAUGCCUGUUCGAGCGUCAUUUCAACCAUCAAGCCCCCGGCUUGUGUUGGGGACCUGCGGCUGCCGCAGGCCCUGAAAAGCAGUGGCGGGCUCGCUGUCACACCGAGCGUAGUAGCAUACAUCUCGCUCUGGGCGUGCUGCGGGUUCCGGCCGUUAAACCACCUUCAUAACCCAAGGUUGACCUCGGAUCAGGUAGGAAGACCCGCUGAACUUAAGCAUAUCAAUAAGCGGA